GACGAACCGUACGAACGUUAUUCGGAAUCACUGGGCUUAAAGAGUUCGUAGGCGGCCAUGCAGGUGAGAUGUGAAAUCCCUCGUCUCAACCGAGGAAUUGCGUUUCAAACCGCAUGGCUAGAGGAAGAUAGGGGUGAGCGGAACUGAUGGUGGAGCGGUGAAAUGCGUUGAUAUCAUCAGGAACACCAGAGGCGAAGGCGGCUCACUGGGUCUUUUCUGACGCUGAGGAACGAAAGCUAGGGGAGCAAACGGG
RNAcentral lists this ribosomal RNA (253 nucleotides) under uncultured bacterium. RNAcentral's name for it is "partial 16S ribosomal RNA". It matches the Rfam family "Bacterial small subunit ribosomal RNA", at positions 524 to 776 of the family's 1533-position model. The record is from RNAcentral.